RNAcentral lists this ribosomal RNA (328 nucleotides) under uncultured eukaryote. Its description in RNAcentral is "partial 18S ribosomal RNA". It matches the Rfam family "Eukaryotic small subunit ribosomal RNA", at positions 1470 to 1796 of the family's 1831-position model. The record is from RNAcentral.
CCCUUAGAUGUUCUGGGCCGCACGCGCGCUACACUGACUACUUCAACGAGUUGUUUCCUUGAUCGAAAGGUCUGGGUAAUCUUUGAAAGGUAGUCGUGAUGGGGAUAGAUCCUUGCAAUUUUUGAUCUUCAACGAGGAAUUCCUAGUAAACGCAAGUCAUCAGCUUGCAUUGAUUACGUCCCUGCCCUUUGUACACACCACCCGUCGCACCUACCGAUUGAAUGGUCCGGUGAAUCUUUAGGACUGUGGCUGAGGCCUUGCCUUGUGCGGGUCUGGCCGUGGGAAUUUAGUUAAACCUUACCAUUUAGAGGAAGGUGAAGUCGUAACA